Molecule: ribosomal RNA, 253 nt
Filed under: uncultured bacterium
Lineage: Bacteria
Description: partial 16S ribosomal RNA
Rfam family: Bacterial small subunit ribosomal RNA
Source: RNAcentral
UACAGAGGUCCCAAGCGUUGUUCGGAUUCACUGGGCGUAAAGGGUGCGUAGGCGGUUGGGUAAGUCUGAUGUGAAAUCUCGGAGCUUAACUCCGAAAUUGCAUCGGAUACUAUCCGGCUAGAGGAAUGGAGGGGAGACUGGAAUACUUGGUGUAGCAGUGAAAUGCGUAGAUAUCAAGUGGAACACCAGUGGCGAAGGCGAGUCUCUGGACAUAUCCUGACGCUGAGGCACGAAAGCGAGGGGAGCAAACGGG